CUAGCUAUUACACUCUUCCCUUAAGAAAAAACGAAAAAAGAAGAAAAUCAACCACAAAAACAACAACUAUAAAACUUUUGCACUAACAAUUAAUAAUUUUGAAUGCCUUAACAAAAUUGCAUACAAAGACUUCCUCCUCGAAACUCAUUGGAGACCUUCUUUCUUCUCUUUCUUUUUUCUUUCCUCUUGCUCCCUUUCUUCUCUUUCUACAACCUUGCUGUUCCUCCUGAUUUCCAGUAACCACUUUCCCAUGCUUAAAGUUGCCCUUGAGCACCGUGUGGUUACUCCUCGAAACUCAUUGGAGACCUAAAAUUAUAUCUCCUCAUUCCUUUCUUUCAACAAGUAGAGACGUACACCUCACGUCUCGUGAUUGGUCUCUUUAGCAUGAACAUA
This 393-nucleotide long non-coding RNA is filed under the name Phoenix dactylifera (date palm). RNAcentral's name for it is "long non-coding RNA (PDAC_LNC018996)". The record is from RNAcentral. Lineage: Eukaryota; Viridiplantae; Streptophyta; Magnoliopsida; Arecales; Arecaceae.